This is a long non-coding RNA of Alnus glutinosa, 507 nucleotides long. RefSeq lists it as uncharacterized. The transcript has 2 exons. NCBI's taxonomy places the organism in Eukaryota, Viridiplantae, Streptophyta, Magnoliopsida, Fagales, Betulaceae. The record is from RefSeq and is a predicted model, not a curated record.
AAGUUUGGAUCUGGUAAAACGAUCGCGCGUUAUCAAUAAUUUGUAUAUUUCCCUAUGAAAAACUGAGAAUUGCAUAUUGUCUACACGUAUUUACCAAGAGGAUUUUAUCAAUUAUGUUCUCAAUUGGAAUUAUAUUGUUGUGACAUAUUGCCAUGGGAAAAAGAGUGAAGGAUCUGUGGUGCACUGGUGCGUGCACACUAAUAUAUGGACUUGAUCCGAUAACACUUUAUAUCUGAAAGCUAAAAGUGAUCGGCGAGCCCAUGUACGAAUAGUGGUCACGCCUUGCGGCAUUGUUAGCUGUGUAGAUCACCCAAGGUCAGACUCAUUUGGAAAACUAGUGGUGGUUGGCUAUUUGCACCACACCGAGGCAUUAGUUUGGAACUUGAAGUGCCACAGGACAUGCAAACCUCAUUGUGAUAGGGUUAUGGGUACAUAUAGGCUAUCUGGAGAAUGGUUAUGGACAGUGAAUAAAUUAUGAAUAUUAUAUUUUAUAUUCCAUUAACAUGA